RNAcentral lists this ribosomal RNA (253 nucleotides) under uncultured Eubacteriales bacterium. RNAcentral describes it as "uncultured Clostridiales bacterium partial 16S ribosomal RNA". It matches the Rfam family "Bacterial small subunit ribosomal RNA", at positions 524 to 776 of the family's 1533-position model. Lineage: Bacteria; Bacillati; Bacillota; Clostridia; Eubacteriales. The record is from RNAcentral.
UACGUAGGGGGCAAGCGUUAUCCGGAUUUACUGGGUGUAAAGGGAGCGUAGACGGCAGCGCAAGUCUGGAGUGAAAUGCCGGGGCCCAACCCCGGAACUGCUCUGGAAACUGUGAAGCUGGAGUGCAGGAGAGGUAAGCGGAAUUCCUAGUGUAGCGGUGAAAUGCGUAGAUAUUAGGAGGAACACCAGCGGCGAAGGCGGCUUACUGGACCGUGACUGACGCUGAGGCGCGAAAGUGUGGGGAGCAAACAGG